GACGAACGCUGGCGGCGUGCCUAAUACAUGCAAGUAGAACGCUGAAGGAAGGAGCUUGCUCUUUCCGGAUGAGUUGCGAACGGGUGAGUAACGCGUAGGUAACCUGCCUGGUAGCGGGGGAUAACUAUUGGAAACGAUAGCUAAUACCGCAUAACAGUAGAUAUCGCAUGAUAUUUGCUUGAAAGGUGCAAUUGCACCACUACCAGAUGGACCUGCGUUGUAUUAGCUAGUUGGUGAGGUAACGGCUCACCAAGGCAACGAUACAUAGCCGACCUGAGAGGGUGAUCGGCCACACUGGGACUGAGACACGGCCCAGACUCCUACGGGAGGCAGCAGUAGGGAAUCUUCGGCAAUGGACGGAAGUCUGACCGAGCAACGCCGCGUGAGUGAAGAAGGUUUUUCGGAUCGUAAAAGCUCUGUUGUAAAG
This 427-nucleotide ribosomal RNA is filed under the name Streptococcus infantis. Its description in RNAcentral is "bacterial SSU rRNA". It matches the Rfam family "Bacterial small subunit ribosomal RNA", at positions 28 to 443 of the family's 1533-position model. The record is from RNAcentral. Lineage: Bacteria; Bacillati; Bacillota; Bacilli; Lactobacillales; Streptococcaceae.